This 406-nucleotide ribosomal RNA is filed under the name uncultured bacterium. Its description in RNAcentral is "partial 16S ribosomal RNA". It matches the Rfam family "Bacterial small subunit ribosomal RNA", at positions 30 to 526 of the family's 1533-position model. The record is from RNAcentral.
AUUGAACGCUGGCGGCAGGCCUAACACAUGCAAGUCGAGCGAGCGGCGGACGGGUGAGUAAUGUAUGUGCCUCUGCCCGAUGGAGGGGGAUAACUACUGGAAACUGUUGCUAAUACCGCAUACUAUCGGCUGAACCCAUAUGGGAUUAGCUAGUAGGUGGGGUAAAGCCCUACCUAGGCGACGAUCUCUAGCUGGUCUGAGAGGAUGAUCAGCCACACUGGAACUGAGACACGGCCCAGACUCCUACGGGAGGCAGCAGUGGGGAAUAUUGGACAAUGGGCGAAAGCCGGAUGCAGCCAGGCCGCGUGUGUGAAGAAGGUCUUAGGGUUGUAAAGUACUUUCAGUGGGGAGGCGUUACCCGCAGAAGAAGCACCGGCUAACUCCGUGCCAGCAGCCGCGGUAAUUC